Molecule: long non-coding RNA, 394 nt
Organism: Betta splendens (Siamese fighting fish)
Lineage: Eukaryota; Metazoa; Chordata; Actinopteri; Anabantiformes; Osphronemidae
Exons: 3
Source: RefSeq, a predicted model, not a curated record
CACGGUCACGCAUUGGUGGCGAUAGUGAACCUAAACCGACCAGAAGUUGCAUUUAUUAAAAGAAAAGGUUCCAGAAGUAGAACAGAAAUAUAAACGCAGAAGAAGAUCUGGGCCCAACGAGGUUGCAUGUGUUGUCGAUGCUGUGUUUUUUACGUGAAGCGAGCUCACGCUGCAGAGGACCAAAUCUAAUAACGGAUUGUUAGGCCACACAGAGACACGAGCACCAUCGUCAACAGUUCCAUGAUGGAAAGUUGACCCCUCCUGGAAGAGAACGUGUAACUACCGAAUUUUUACAUCACAUGUGUAACUUAAUGACAAUGCAAAUGUUUACAUCUUUUCAAUAAAUAAUUGUAUUUUUAAUAAAUGAACAUUUUAAUAAACAAAUAAAUCACAA